AAAUUUUCAGUUUAUUUUAAAUUAGAUGUAUUCUAUAUUGGUUCCUCUUCUGGUCGUCGUUUCCUCGCCACCGCUUGGGUGGUCGCUGCUUCAUAGGUCGAUUGCCACUGCUACUGCUACUGCUACGGGCAUUAUUGUGUUUUUAAUUGUUGUGUCGUCCCUCAUUACUCGAAUUAGAAGAGGUUGGAAUCAGAACUCACACCCAAUGAACAACUGAAAGUAGAAGCAGAAGGGGUGAUGCAGCAGUUAAUGACAAUGGUUCAAUAUAUUGCUAUGAGGGAGAAAACAAAGUGAUUGGCUGAAGAACAGGCACACAUUUUUGAGAUUAAACUGGAGCUAACCGGGUGAUUGACUAAAUGAUGAAACACAAGCUGAUGAAAAUGAAGUACUUUAUGUUUUUUUUUUGGGAAAACGGCGCUUUUGGCCCCUCAAUUGUUUUAAUUUUAGAGAUUUAGUCCCUCUCAAUUGAUUUGAACAAAUUUGAUCCUUUAGUUGUUCAUAAUAGAUCACAUUUGAUCCCUUGAUGUUAUA
This is a long non-coding RNA of Ipomoea triloba (trilobed morning glory), 531 nucleotides long. RefSeq lists it as uncharacterized. Lineage: Eukaryota; Viridiplantae; Streptophyta; Magnoliopsida; Solanales; Convolvulaceae. The transcript has 4 exons. The record is from RefSeq and is a predicted model, not a curated record.